RNAcentral lists this ribosomal RNA (226 nucleotides) under uncultured bacterium. RNAcentral's name for it is "partial 16S ribosomal RNA". It matches the Rfam family "Bacterial small subunit ribosomal RNA", at positions 111 to 334 of the family's 1533-position model. The record is from RNAcentral.
UAACACGUGAGUAACCUGCCCCCUUCUUCUGGAUAACCGCAUGAAAGUGUGGCUAAUACGGGAUAUUCUGCGCCUGCUGCAUGGUGGGUGUGGGAAAGAUAUUGUUUCGGUGGGGGAUGGGCUCGCGGCCUAUCAGCUUGUUGGUGGGGUGAUGGCCUACCAAGGCGGUGACGGGUAGCCGGCCUGAGAGGGUGGACGGUCACACUGGGACUGAGACACGGCCCAG